ACGUAGGUCACAAGCGUUGUCCGGAAUUACUGGGUGUAAAGGGAGCGCAGGCGGGAAGACAAGUUGGAAGUGAAAUCCAUGGGCUCAACCCAUGAACUGCUUUCAAAACUGUUUUUCUUGAGUAGUGCAGAGGUAGGCGGAAUUCCCGGUGUAGCGGUGGAAUGCGUAGAUAUCGGGAGGAACACCAGUGGCGAAGGCGGCUUACUGGGCACCAACUGACGCUGAGGCUCGAAAGUGUGGGUAGCAAACAG
This 251-nucleotide ribosomal RNA is filed under the name uncultured bacterium. RNAcentral's name for it is "partial 16S ribosomal RNA". It matches the Rfam family "Bacterial small subunit ribosomal RNA", at positions 525 to 775 of the family's 1533-position model. The record is from RNAcentral.